Long non-coding RNA from Rattus norvegicus (Norway rat), 2434 nucleotides. RefSeq lists it as uncharacterized. The record is from RefSeq and is a predicted model, not a curated record. Lineage: Eukaryota; Metazoa; Chordata; Mammalia; Rodentia; Muridae.
AACAGAAUAAAAACUGUCAAUUUUGACAGAUCCAGCCAUUGCUACACCGAGGGAGAAAUCUGGCCUGGCUGUGGAAGGGGUAGACCCUGAACACAGACUCCCUGAAUACCUUGACCAGUAACUGUUCCUCCAUUAGAAAACUGAGAAGUAAUGAUGAGUUAAGCCAAGAGAACACAAAGAGAACACACUGUACCAUUGCAUUGGCAGAGACACAUGGAUCUGCAGGCUGGAAGUGGGGAUUUGUGAGUCACUAUCCAGGCCGACAUUUCUCCAAAGACCAAUUGAGAGCAGUUACUCAUUGUUCACUGGAAACGUGCUAGAGGCUGUGGAUCGGGUAGCUGGAAUGCAGGCGUUUCCAUAUCUUUUCUAAGCGAAUGGAUGUAGAGAGCUGUGACCAGUUUUACCUAUAGAAGAAGGUCUGUUUUGUCCUAACUCUACUGUGGCCAUAGCCAACGUCCUCUUGUAAUUUGCAUUCAAGUUUCUCCAUUAGUAAGGGUGGCUGUGUGUCCCCCUUCGGAUGCCUUCCAACCUAGUGUGCUGCUUUUUAGACUCAUCUGGCUAACCUGAUUCACCUGUAAUGGAAUUGGCAAGUCACCUGGUCCGUGUAGCCUCUGACUCUUGAUGCUUCUCUUAUGAGAACAGCUUCAAAGUUCUUUUGGACAUGGUAUGUGAAGACACCCUGGGAUCCUGCAAAGUCUUCCAGAACACAGACAUGUCAGGUGGAGCUGGAUGAAGGUCUCUGCAUGCUCCCUCCGAUGUCAGGAUUCAUCCACCUAUUCAUUCCAUAGCUCCCUGGACUCAUCCGUCUGUGUUUCCUCAUUGCUUUGGCAAAAGUUCUCACACUUUCCCAUACCUGUUAAGCCAUACUCUUUGGGCCUCCAACAGGGUUUCUGACUCAAUAGGAGCCUUGUAUUUCUAACAAAGUCUCAGGCAAAGCUGGCAUAGUUGUUUGGAGCAUUCAAAGAGACUCUGCAGUCUUGGAACCCAGACUGAGAAGUACCCAGUGACUGUAGACCAGGGUCAUAAGCCCUGUAGCUGAAAGGGCAGCAGGUAUAUGUGCUGGAGGCUAAGACGUGAGCUAGUGCCAAGUUAAACUUCAAAGCUAGUCUUACCUCUGCCAAAAACUUGAGCUGAGUCAGGGCUCAGACUGCCCAUGGGAAAGAAGGUUUUCAUCAGAGUCACUGGAACCAGAAACUUCCCAGUCACAAGAGCCUCCUCUAGAGGCAAACAAAAUUGCCUGCAUGUAACAUAGCUGGGAAGCUCAAACCAGGUAGGAAUCUCAUAUAGGAGAGAAGCCAGCUAUUUGUAGUUCCGCAUCCCCACGAUCAGAAGGUAAAUGAAUGUGCUACCAUGAAAGCUAGCUCAAAUUCACAGACAAGCCCUCUGCCAGAGUAUUUAUGGAGUAGUUUCCCUUUGUGUCAGAACAUAGUCCUCCAAGAAAAACAGUCAUCACCUUUCACAGAUAAGCUGUGCUAACUUUCAAGAACCAAUCACAACCAGGGUUAUUGCUGGUUGACAUUUCACCCCUCAUAGAAGGAGAGGUGGAGAUGGCUGUUGGAGCCUUACCUGAGUUCUAUAUGAGCUUCCAGCCACUGCUACCCAGGCCUUUCUUAUAUAACUGUGUUAAAUACACUUGGAGGGUUGGAAGAAGCAGAGAAUAGAGGGAACAUGGCUCUAACUAUGUAAAUGUGGGGAAGCCAUCAUGCAUGCUGGGUGUGUACCUUCAGUGUCUCCCAUGCCCCAUGUUCCUGACUCACUCGAUAAUUUGUAAGUAAACCUGAUAAACUCAUUGGUUUCCCAGAGUGCAAUGGGUUUUUGGUUUGUCAUUGGAGACAUAUGAAAUGGGGGUAGACACAGUUUAUAGCUCCCUGGGUUUGUUUAUACUGUUUUUAUUAUAGCACCAGCUUUGGGGAGGGUGGAGAUUCUUGGGACAGACAUAGUUUUUCACAGACGUUUCUGCUGCUGUGGUUUUCUUUGUACUUUUUCUUAUUUGAAAACUGUCUUUAAAACUGGACUGUCCCCAUUUCACUUUACCCAGUGAGAUAAAUGCAAAUAUCCCAUACACGCAAGGUGUUUAUGCUCAGUCCUGUUGAGCAUUCACUGAAGAGUCACUGAUGUUACAGAGUCUGGAUUUCUCCUUCUCAUCUAAUUGAUUAUUUCCAUGCCAGCCUCACAAUCAACGGGCCUCUGCUUUGCUUCUCCAUCUUGGUGCAAACAAAAUGACUGGCAGAUGUGAAAGUAAGCCUUCCCAGCCAUCACCGAGCCUGCUCUUUAUCAAGCUCAUAAACCAUCUCAGCCCACACUUAUGGGAAAAUUAACAAUUAACUAGAGAUUUUGAUGUUGGAGGAUAUGUGUGCGCGCACACACACACACACACACACACACACCAGCUUUGCAUGGACAAUAAAAACAGUGACUACAGCAACAGAACAAA